This is a small nuclear RNA of Peromyscus californicus insignis, 159 nucleotides long. RefSeq annotates it as U1 spliceosomal RNA. Lineage: Eukaryota; Metazoa; Chordata; Mammalia; Rodentia; Cricetidae. The transcript has a single exon. The record is from RefSeq and is a predicted model, not a curated record.
AUACCUACCUGGCAAGGGAGAUACCAGGAUCAAGAAGGUGGUUUUCCCGGGGUGAGGCUUAUCCAUUGCACUCCAGAUGUGCUGACCUCUUCGGUUUCCCCCAAUGUGGGAACUUGUCUAAUUUGUUGCAGUGGGGGACUGCGUUUGUGCUCUCCCCUG